GAUGAACGCUGGCGGCGUGCCUAACACAUGCAAGUCGAGCGAACCCUUCGGGGUGAGCGGCGGACGGGUGAGUAACGCGUGGGUAACCUGCCCUGUACACACGGAUAACAUACCGAAAGGUAUGCUAAUACGAGAUAAUAUAUUUUAAUCGCAUGGUUAAGAUAUCAAAGCUCCGGCGGUACAGGAUGGACCCGCGUCUGAUUAGCUAGUUGGUGAGGUAAUGGCUCACCAAGGCGACGAUCAGUAGCCGACCUGAGAGGGUGAUCGGCCACACGGGAACUGAGACACGGUCCAGAGUCCUACGGGAGGCAGCAGUGGGGAAUAUUGCACAAUGGGCGAAAGCCUGAUGCAGCAACGCCGCGUGAGCGAUGAAGGCCUUCGGGUCGUAAAGCUCUGUCCUCAAGGAAGAUAAUGACGGUACUUGAGGAGGAAGCCCCGGCUAACUACGUGCCAGCAGCCGCCGUAA
This 466-nucleotide ribosomal RNA is filed under the name uncultured bacterium. RNAcentral describes it as "partial 16S ribosomal RNA". It matches the Rfam family "Bacterial small subunit ribosomal RNA", at positions 28 to 523 of the family's 1533-position model. The record is from RNAcentral.